UCAUUAGUGAGGUACAUCCUUACCUGUUACUCCAGCAAUGGAGUUUCAGAACAUGAUGAAUGGAGACAAUGAGAUAUGAUUAUAUCUCCGCUUGUAGAGACAUGCAACCCUCUACAAGACCAUUCUGAA
Molecule: small nucleolar RNA, 129 nt
Organism: Nerophis ophidion (straightnose pipefish)
Lineage: Eukaryota; Metazoa; Chordata; Actinopteri; Syngnathiformes; Syngnathidae
Product: U8 small nucleolar RNA
Exons: 1
Source: RefSeq, a predicted model, not a curated record